This 284-nucleotide ribosomal RNA is filed under the name uncultured Peptoniphilus sp. RNAcentral's name for it is "partial 16S ribosomal RNA". It matches the Rfam family "Bacterial small subunit ribosomal RNA", at positions 64 to 356 of the family's 1533-position model. The record is from RNAcentral. Lineage: Bacteria; Bacillati; Bacillota; Tissierellia; Tissierellales; Peptoniphilaceae.
GGGCGAAGAUAAGACGGAUUAGCGGCGGACGGGUGAGUAACACGUGAGUAACCUGCCUUUUACACAGGGAUAGCCUCGGGAAACCGGGAUUAAAACCUGAUGAAACUAUCAAAUCACAUGAUUAAGAAAGUUAAAACUCCGGUGGUAAAAGAUGGACUCGCGUCCCAUUAGCUAGUUGGUGAAGGUAACGGCCCACCAAGGCAACGAUGGGUAGCCGGCCUGAGAGGGUGAACGGCCACAUUGGAACUGAGAAACGGUCCAAACUCCUACGGGAGGCAGCAGCG